Molecule: non-coding RNA, 131 nt
Organism: Accipiter nisus (Eurasian sparrowhawk)
Lineage: Eukaryota; Metazoa; Chordata; Aves; Accipitriformes; Accipitridae
Source: Ensembl
UGGACACGUAAGUUUUCUUUCAGUUUCUCCUCUAUGUGGGGAAAACUGUACAAGUGUCCUAUAGUAACACAGAAGCUAUCUGUUCAACUCUGAUGAGUUAAUGGGGUUGGAUCGUUCCACUUCUGACAGCU